This 253-nucleotide ribosomal RNA is filed under the name uncultured bacterium. RNAcentral describes it as "partial 16S ribosomal RNA". It matches the Rfam family "Bacterial small subunit ribosomal RNA", at positions 524 to 776 of the family's 1533-position model. The record is from RNAcentral.
UACUAGGGGGGCGAGCGUUGUUCGGAAUUAUUGGGCGUAAAGGGUGCGUAGGCGGUUUGGUAAGUCUCUUGUGAAAUCUCUGGGCUCAACUCAGAGUCUGCAAGGGAAACUGCCGGGCUCGAGUGUGGGAGAGGUGAGUGGAAUUUCCGGUGUAGCGGUGAAAUGCGUAGAUAUCGGAAGGAACACCUGUGGCGAAAGCGGCUCACUGGACCACAACUGACGCUGAUGCACGAAAGCUAGGGGAGCAAACAGG